This 704-nucleotide ribosomal RNA is filed under the name Propioniciclava sp. OTU8_C. Its description in RNAcentral is "bacterial SSU rRNA". It matches the Rfam family "Bacterial small subunit ribosomal RNA", at positions 8 to 729 of the family's 1533-position model. Lineage: Bacteria; Bacillati; Actinomycetota; Actinomycetes; Propionibacteriales; Propionibacteriaceae. The record is from RNAcentral.
AGAGUUUGAUCCUGGCUCAGGACGAACGCUGGCGGCGUGCUUAACACAUGCAAGUCGAACGAUGAUCUGCUCUUCGGAGUGGUGAUUAGUGGCGAACGGGUGAGUAACACGUGAGUAACCUGCCCUCCACUUUGGGAUAACUGUGGGAAACUUCAGCUAAUACCGGAUAUUGAAUACUGCUCGCAUGGGUGGUGUUUGAAAGAUUUUUUGGUGGGGGAUGGACUCGCGGCCUAUCAGCUUGUUGGUGGGGUAAUGGCCUACCAAGGCGAUGACGGGUAGCCGGCCUGAGAGGGCGACCGGCCACACUGGGACUGAGAUACGGCCCAGACUCCUACGGGAGGCAGCAGUGGGGAAUAUUGCACAAUGGGCGAAAGCCUGAUGCAGCAACGCCGCGUGCGGGAUGACGGCCUUCGGGUUGUAAACCGCUUUCACCAGGGGCGAAUUUGACGGUACCUGGAGAAGAAGCACCGGCUAACUACGUGCCAGCAGCCGCGGUGAUACGUAGGGUGCGAGCGUUGUCCGGAUUUAUUGGGCGUAAAGAGCUCGUAGGUGGUUUGUUGCGUCGGAAGUGAAAACACAGGGCUUAACUCUGUGCUUGCUUUCGAUACGGGCAGACUUGAGGAAGGUAGGGGAGAACGGAAUUCCUGGUGGAGCGGUGGAAUGCGCAGAUAUCAGGAGGAACACCAGUGGCGAAGGCGGUUCUC